GACGAACGCUGGCGGCGUGCUUAACACAUGCAAGUCGAACGGAAAGGCCCUGCUUUUGUGGGGUGCUCGAGUGGCGAACGGGUGAGUAACACGUGAGUAACCUGCCCUUGACUUUGGGAUAACUUCAGGAAACUGGGGCUAAUACCGGAUAGGAGCUCCUGCUGCAUGGUGGGGGUUGGAAAGUUUCGGCGGUUGGGGAUGGACUCGCGGCUUAUCAGCUUGUUGGUGGGGUAGUGGCUUACCAAGGCUUUGACGGGUAGCCGGCCUGAGAGGGUGACCGGUCACAUUGGGACUGAGAUACGGCCCAGACUCCUACGGGAGGCAGCAGUGGGGAAUAUUGCACGAUGGGCGGAAGCCUGAUGCAGCAACGCCGCGUGCGGGAUGACGGCCUUCGGGUUGUAAACCGCUUUCGCCUGUGACGAAGCGUGAGUGACGGUAAUGGGUAAAGAAGCACCGGCUAACUACGUG
RNAcentral lists this ribosomal RNA (468 nucleotides) under uncultured bacterium. Its description in RNAcentral is "partial 16S ribosomal RNA". It matches the Rfam family "Bacterial small subunit ribosomal RNA", at positions 28 to 507 of the family's 1533-position model. The record is from RNAcentral.